GUGUGUGAAGUGUCUUGUGUUGGUGUCUCAGGGAUGUCCCUCAGCCGUGUGUGGAGGAUCAUCUGAAGCCUCUGUCUCCGUUUGGUCUGCGGAACCGCUAUCUGUCCAGACUGGGAGUGCAGAUGCCGGAUCACUGCUGCCCACAUCUGUCUUCACUGGCCUACAGGAGUGUCCUCAAAUGAGUCCGUCUGUCCAGCAAUGCUGAUAGAGACUAAUUUGUUUGUCAAUAAAUGUUUAUUUUUGCAUGCA
Molecule: long non-coding RNA, 249 nt
Organism: Sinocyclocheilus grahami
Lineage: Eukaryota; Metazoa; Chordata; Actinopteri; Cypriniformes; Cyprinidae
Exons: 2
Source: RefSeq, a predicted model, not a curated record